RNAcentral lists this ribosomal RNA (38 nucleotides) under Terminalia bellirica (bibhitaki). RNAcentral's name for it is "partial 28S ribosomal RNA". The record is from RNAcentral. Lineage: Eukaryota; Viridiplantae; Streptophyta; Magnoliopsida; Myrtales; Combretaceae.
CCCCGCUGAGUUUAAGCAUAUCAAUAAGCGGGAGCGAA